Molecule: ribosomal RNA, 494 nt
Filed under: uncultured bacterium
Lineage: Bacteria
Description: partial 16S ribosomal RNA
Rfam family: Bacterial small subunit ribosomal RNA
Source: RNAcentral
GACGAACGCUGGCGGCGUGCUUAACACAUGCAAGUCGAACGGAAAGGCCUGCUUUCCCUUGUGGAUUGCGGGUACUCGAGUGGCGAACGGGUGAGUAACACGUGAGUGAUCUGCCCCCAACUUGGGUAUAAGCCUGGGAAAUUGGGUCUAAUUCCCGAUAGGACUGCAGGGUGGUGCCUGUGGUGGAAAACGAUUUUCUAGUGGUUGGGGAUGAGCUCGCGGCCUAUCAGCUUGUUGGUGGGGUAAUGGCCUACCAAGGCGGCGACGGGUAGCCGGCCUGAGAGGGUGGUCGGCCACAUUGGGACUGAGAUACGGCCCAGACUCCUACGGGAGGCAGCAGUGGGGAAUAUUGCACAAUGGGCGGAAGCCUGAUGCAGCGACGCCGCGUGGGGGAUGACGGCCUUCGGGUUGUAAACUCCUUUCGACCGCGAGGAAGCCACCUGGUUGGAAGGGUGGUGACGGUAGUGGUAGAAGAAGCACCGGCUAACUACGUG